Molecule: ribosomal RNA, 253 nt
Filed under: uncultured bacterium
Lineage: Bacteria
Description: partial 16S ribosomal RNA
Rfam family: Bacterial small subunit ribosomal RNA
Source: RNAcentral
UACGGGGGGGGCAAGCGUUGUUCGGAAUUACUGGGCAUAAAGGGCUCGUAGGCGGCCAACUAAGUCCGACGUGAAAUCCCCAGGCUUAACCUGGGAACUGCGUCGGAUACUGGAUGGCUUGAAUCCGGGAGAGGGAUGCGGAAUUCCAGGUGUAGCGGUGAAAUGCGUAGAUAUCUGGAGGAACACCGGUGGCGAAGGCGGCAUCCUGGACCGGCAUUGACGCUGAGGAGCGAAAGCCAGGGGAGCAAACGGG